Molecule: non-coding RNA, 362 nt
Organism: Salinicoccus halodurans
Lineage: Bacteria; Bacillati; Bacillota; Bacilli; Caryophanales; Staphylococcaceae
Source: Rfam
GGGGACGUUCCGGAUUCGACAGGGGCUGUUUGGGCAUUUUAAGCGUGCCGGAGGUAUCGGCUCCGCAAAAACGAUACUCAGUUUAUAAUAACUGGCAAACAAAACAACUUCGCAGUAGCUGCGUAAUAGCGCUCUGCAUCAUCCCUUGUCGUUACCUGUGCGACCUGACCGGAUGAUUCAACUUUAGCAGGUUACGCAUCCAGUCUUCCGUCUGCAGACUGGAUGAAGAGACCAAUCAGACUAGCAUGGUAUGUGGUUCGUCCAUUACCGUCAGCCAUGCGAAUUCCAAAUAUGGACUACGCACGUAGAAAAAAAUGUAUCAAGGUCUCUGGACGCGGGUUCGACUCCCGCCGUCUCCAUUA